CACAACUUAAAACUGCUGCAAUGAAACUGAGAGAAUUCGCAAAACUUCAUUAAAGGUCCCGAAUAAACAUGCAGAAUCUAACAAAAAUCAGCUUGUCUUGGCUUUCAAAUGUUGCUUUCCUCUCAAAGUGUCCAUAAACCAUACAUAAAGUUGUAAUGGAAGAAAUGCUGGCCUCCCAAUGCAAGUCCCGGCCUUGUGUUAAAGCCUCUGAGACAAAAACAACAAAAUGCAGUGUGGAGAGAAAUGAAAAAGGCUGUAAUGCUAUUUAAAGAAUGGAUUAAGUACAGUUUACAGAUGCUGGAUUUCUUCCCAUUUUGGAAUGUUAAAUUAGACAACCAAGGAGGAAAAUUCACCUGGUUUGAAAAAUUCA
This is a long non-coding RNA of Symphalangus syndactylus (siamang), 370 nucleotides long. RefSeq lists it as uncharacterized. NCBI's taxonomy places the organism in Eukaryota, Metazoa, Chordata, Mammalia, Primates, Hylobatidae. The record is from RefSeq and is a predicted model, not a curated record.